UUUAACUAAAUAAUGAUGUGCUUGUCAUCUAUCUGUAUAUUAUCUUAGAGCCCUGGCAGGGUUAAUCAUUGUAGGAAUUUGGUUCCUACUCCCAAUACAUGCAAGUGUGGCAACAUGUAUGAGUUUGGGGCAUUCAUCAAGUGGACCCCUCCAUGUAACCAAAAAUCAGGUUGAUGAGGUCUCUAGUGGGUCUCAUGUAAAAGAAAGAUGGAUGAUUAAAGGAACUGGCAAGGCCGGGGAACAUUAGACAUUCCAUCUUCCGAAACCAACACUUUGGAUAUUAUUUGACAUACAAUAAUCUCUAUAUGCCUAUUAUGGAUCUGUAGAAUGGAUGAAUAGGAUCAUCAAGCUUCAUUAUGAUUAGGGAUUUUGUAGGAAUUAGUAAGUAUAAUUUUUUUUUUCCCUCUUCUUCUUUUCUAUCAUAAAUAUGUAAAACAAGCCCUAAAAGGCAAAUGCUAUUUUUCUUGUACUCCAUCUUCCUUGUAAGAAGAUAGCCAUAGUGUAAACAUUUUACUUUUUCCAUAGUAUAAGCUGUUUACUUUUUGGUUAGUUGUUUGUUUGUACUUUGCAUGCUUACACUACUAUAACAAAAACUAGCAGACUGAUGUAGAACAUGGCACAGAUACAUUCCUGGCAUGGUUGGACCAAAAGAAGGUGGAAUGUAAAUUGAUCAUAAUUUAAUCUCUUCUCCUUAUAAAUGAUUUUGCUGACUCCUGCAAAACAGCGAGCUUGCAACUGAUGUUGCACCCAUGGGCUCAGUUAUUUCCUGAAAUCAGCCAACAUCUUUCCUCUAAAAAAAAUAUUAUUUUGCUUUUAACCAUUUCAUCGUGUCAUAAUUGUUAUUGUUUUUGUUGUUAACACCAUGCAAUUUUACUUCUAGCUCAUGUAGAUUUUGUUCAAAUCCGGCCGUAUGAUAACUCAUUUAUUUCAUGCUGUUAUCAUCUUGGGUUGCUGCUAUUAAGGCAAUGCAUGAUGUUAUUUAUCUUCGCCAUCAUCUAGAGAAGGCAAGUUCAGUCCCUUCACCUUUUGGUCCAUUGUAUGAACUCAUUGUAAUAGAUAUUUGGUUCCUAGAGAGUCAAGAUUUCAGAAACUGUGGAAGCCCCACUCUAUAUUAGGUAAUUGUGCCCUGUUUCAAUGGCAAAAAUGCACCCAAUUCAGAAACUGUGGAAGCCCCACUCUAUAUUAGGUGGAAAGCAGAAAGUCCAUCAAACUGGCUUCAAAUGACAAGUGAGCUCAUUUAUCAAAACAGAAAUGAGCAUGUUGCAAUCACUUAAUAAUGUCUCCCUUGCAGGUUGGUUCUUUAGAUCCUGGCAAACUCAUAAAAAUACUCAAAUCAUCAAUACCCAGUUUGUAACUGCAUUCAACUGUGAUGGUUCUCCCUCCAGGAUUCACCAAAUUGUGACAUUCACAUUUUCUGUAGUGUGCUAUUUCAGUUCUUAGAAAGACAUUGAAAACUAAGAUAACUCUGAAAUGGGCAUUAGCACUGGUCAAGUGACUCAAACCCAAGACUGGUGAAUGCAACUGCAAUAGCUUGGCUAUUGCAUUCAGUGAAUUGGUUUUCUCUUUAGGUAGACUUUUGCACUAAUAACUUCAUAUAUGUUUUUCUGUAUCCUUAUCAGAUUUUACAAGUUUUAAAGAACUGUCUAACUUUUAAGUGGGAGCAGAAAAUCAGUUGACUUUGUUGUCCUGGUGUACUUUAAAAAGAAAAAAAAAGGUUGGACUGUCAAAAAGAAAUGGGUUAUUUGCUGUGUAUCGUAAUCUGCCUGUAGUACCGGAUUUAUGUCGAUCUUUAUUGAAUAAUAAUAAUAAUCUAUUUUUCCAUCAUGAGCAGGGAUUUUGAUGUCUACAUUUGACAUGAAGGAUGAAUCCAAGGAAGUGAUUUGGCAAGAUGUUGGUAGUGGGAGGAAUGCUAAUACUGGAAAGGAUAAUGGGGUCAAUCAAAGCACCGACAGAGGCCUUACAUCCACCUCUUCACCAGUUUCGCAGGACAGAGAAAAUAAGGCAACCAUUCCAACCGUGAGGUAAACUUCAUUUAUAGAUUUUUCUGAUCAUGGGACCACCAGCCUUUGAGGAUUUUCAGCCUUUGAAUUUGAGGACUUUCAGGGAAAAUUACAAUAGAUCAACCUAUGCUCCUCUCACUAUCUUUUUUUCCCCUAAAGGAGGUGCUCGAGUCCAAGGGCUGGAAAUGUCCAAUCAGGGCUCACCUGAUUAUCAAUUCAGAUGAACUACACCUUACAUGCG
Magnolia sinica is the source of this 2241-nucleotide long non-coding RNA. RefSeq lists it as uncharacterized. Lineage: Eukaryota; Viridiplantae; Streptophyta; Magnoliopsida; Magnoliales; Magnoliaceae. The record is from RefSeq and is a predicted model, not a curated record. The transcript has 4 exons.